UACGAAGGGGGCUAGCGUUGCUCGGAAUCACUGGGCGUAAAGCGCACGUAGGCGGAUCUUUAAGUCAGGGGUGAAAUCCUGGAGCUCAACUCCAGAACUGCCUUUGAUACUGGGGAUCUCGAGUCCGGAAGAGGUGAGUGGAACUCCGAGUGUAGAGGUGAAAUUCGUAGAGAUCAUGAGGAAGACCAGUGGCGAAGGCGGGUCUCUGGACAGUUCCUGACACUGAGGCACGAAGGCCAGGGGAGCAAACGGG
RNAcentral lists this ribosomal RNA (253 nucleotides) under uncultured bacterium. Its description in RNAcentral is "partial 16S ribosomal RNA". It matches the Rfam family "Bacterial small subunit ribosomal RNA", at positions 524 to 776 of the family's 1533-position model. The record is from RNAcentral.